ACGCUCGACACCUACGGAAGGCAGCAGUGGGGAAUAUUGCACAAUGGGGGAAACCCUGAUGCAGCGACGCCGCGUGAGCGAAGAAGUAUUUCGGUAUGUAAAGCUCUAUCAGCAGGGAAGAAAAUGACGGUACCUGACUAAGAAGCCCCGGCUAACUACGUGCAGCAGCCGCGGUAAUCUGAGCGGGCUGGCAAGGC
This 197-nucleotide ribosomal RNA is filed under the name uncultured bacterium. RNAcentral describes it as "partial 16S ribosomal RNA". It matches the Rfam family "Bacterial small subunit ribosomal RNA", at positions 326 to 539 of the family's 1533-position model. The record is from RNAcentral.